This 253-nucleotide ribosomal RNA is filed under the name uncultured bacterium. RNAcentral describes it as "partial 16S ribosomal RNA". It matches the Rfam family "Bacterial small subunit ribosomal RNA", at positions 524 to 776 of the family's 1533-position model. The record is from RNAcentral.
UACGUAGGUGGCAAGCGUUGUCCGGAAUUACUGGGCGUAAAGCGUGCGCAGGCGGUUCGUUAAGUUCGUUGUGAAAGCCCCGGGCUCAACCUGGGAACUGCAAUGGAAACUGGCGGGCUUGAGUGUGGCAGAGGGGGGUGGAAUUCCGCGUGUAGCAGUGAAAUGCGUAGAGAUGCGGAGGAACACCGAUGGCGAAGGCAGCCCCCUGGGCCAACACUGACGCUCAGGCACGAAAGCGUGGGGAGCAAACAGG